This 435-nucleotide ribosomal RNA is filed under the name Sigara rubyae. RNAcentral describes it as "partial large subunit ribosomal RNA". Lineage: Eukaryota; Metazoa; Arthropoda; Insecta; Hemiptera; Corixidae. The record is from RNAcentral.
GUCCUUUUGAUUUUUAUUUAAGGUCUAACCUGCCCACUGAUUUAUUUAAUGGCCGCGGUAUUUUGACCGUGCAAAGGUAGCAUAAUAAUUUGUCUUUUAAUUGAAGGCUUGUAUGAAUGGUUGGACGAGAAAAUUACUUUCUUUAUAAUAUAAUUAUUAAUUUUAUUUUUUAGUUAAAAGGCUAAAAUUUUGUUGUAGGACGAGAAGACCCUAUAGAACUUUAUAUUUAUUUAUAUAUUAAUAUAUUUGGUUAAUUAUAUAUUGUAUUUUUAUAAAUAUUUUGUUGGGGCGACAAGAAAAUUUAUUUAACUUUUUUUUAUUAAUUUCAUUAAUUAAUGUUUAAAUGAUCCUUUAUUAUGGAUAAUUAGAAUAAGUUACCUUAGGGAUAACAGCGUAAUUUUUUUGGAGAGUUCUUAUCGAUAAAAAAGUUUGCGA